Molecule: ribosomal RNA, 465 nt
Filed under: uncultured bacterium
Lineage: Bacteria
Description: partial 16S ribosomal RNA
Rfam family: Bacterial small subunit ribosomal RNA
Source: RNAcentral
GACGAACGCUGGCGGCGUGCUUAACACAUGCAAGUCGUACGGUAAGGCCCUUUCGGGGGUACACGAGUGGCGAACGGGUGAGUAACACGUGAGUAACCUGCCCACAACUUUGGGAUAACGCUAGGAAACUGGUGCUAAUACUGGAUAUGUGCUCCUGCUGCAUGGUGGGGGUUGGAAAACUCCGGCGGUUGUGGAUGGACUCGCGGCCUAUCAGCUUGUUGGUGGGGUAGUGGCCUACCAAGGCGGCGACGGGUAGCCGGCCUGAGAGGGUGACCGGCCACACUGGGACUGAGAUACGGCCCAGACUCCUACGGGAGGCAGCAGUGGGGAAUAUUGCACAAUGGGCGCAAGCCUGAUGCAGCAACGCCGCGUGCGGGAUGACGGCCUUCGGGUUGUAAACCGCUUUCAGCAGGGACGAAGCUUUUUGUGACGGUACCUGCAGAAGAAGCACCGGCUAACUACGUG